Molecule: ribosomal RNA, 429 nt
Filed under: Amaurobius scopolii
Lineage: Eukaryota; Metazoa; Arthropoda; Arachnida; Araneae; Amaurobiidae
Description: partial 16S ribosomal RNA
Rfam family: Bacterial large subunit ribosomal RNA (bases 166-429)
Source: RNAcentral
UCUGCUCAAUGAAAUUAAAUAGCCGCAAUUAUAUUGUGCUAAGGUAGCAUAAUCAUUUGUCUUUUAAUUAAAGACUAGAAUAAAUGAUUUUACAUUUAAUUUAUUUUUUUUCAUCUAAAAAUUUAAAUUUUUUCUAAAUAUAAAAAAAUAUUUAUUUUUAAAAAAGACGAAAAGACCCUAUUAAACUUUACUAUAGUUUAACUGGGGAAGUUAAUUAAUUAUAAUUUUAAUUUAUAUAAUAAAUAUCAUCCAAUAAUAUUGAUUAAAAUAAGUUACUAUAGGGAUAACAGCGUAAUAUUUUUUAAAGAUCUUAUUUAAAAAAAAAAUUACGACCUCGAUGUUGAAUUAUUUUUUCUAAAAAAAGUAAAAAUUUUUAAAGAAAGUCUGUUCGACUUUUAAUUAAUUACAUGAUCUGAGUUCAAACCGGAG